Molecule: long non-coding RNA, 389 nt
Organism: Grus americana (Whooping crane)
Lineage: Eukaryota; Metazoa; Chordata; Aves; Gruiformes; Gruidae
Exons: 3
Source: RefSeq, a predicted model, not a curated record
CAAGCACCCAGUGUGGAGCAGCUUUUGGCACUUUGUUUUUCAGCAGGACUUCUGAAUCUUAAACCACAAGCUUCCAUAGUCUGAGUCAGAGAAACCAGACAGAUUGGCUGCUGUAUCUAUACUGCAGAAGCAGAUGUUCAAGAAAUUACUCUGAGACUUAAAAUGGUGUUUAAUUGGAAUCACCUGGAAAAAAAUGGGCAACACUUGGAAAAUCUACUUGAUGAUAGAGAUUUGAGAAGGCUUCUUGAAACAAUACAGGUUUGAAGGUCAGACAGCAGAAUGCAAGGGCAAAGAAGAACCAAUGUGACUGUAUUGGUAGCAUAUGUGAGCAGAGGCCAAGCAAGUAAAAAGGAGGAGAAUUCACUGCUAGCUGGGGAAGCUUCCUGAAC